RNAcentral lists this ribosomal RNA (378 nucleotides) under uncultured bacterium. RNAcentral's name for it is "bacterial SSU rRNA". It matches the Rfam family "Bacterial small subunit ribosomal RNA", at positions 521 to 896 of the family's 1533-position model. The record is from RNAcentral.
UAAGACGUAGGGCGCGAGCGUUGUCCGGAUUUAUUGGGCGUAAAGAGCUCGUAGGCGGCUCGUUGCGUCGGCUGUGAAAACCCGCAGCUCAACUGUGGGCUUGCAGCUGAUACGGGCGGGCUAGGAUUCGGUAGGGGAGACUGGAAUUCCUGGUGUAGCGGUGAAAUGCGCAGAUAUCAGGAGGAACACCGGUGGCGAAGGCGGGUCUCUGGGCCGAUAUCGACGCUGAGGAGCGAAAGCGUGGGGAGCGAACAGGAUUAGAUACCCUGGUAGUCCACGCUGUAAACGUUGGGCGCUAGGUGUGGGGGGCCUCUCCGGUUCUCUGUGCCGCAGCUAACGCAUUAAGCGCCCCGCCUGGGGAGUACGGCCGCAAGGCUA